UACGUAGGCGGAUGAUUAAGUCAGGGUGAAAUCCCGGGGCUCAACCUCGGAACUGCCUUUGAUACUGGUCGUCUUGAGUCCGGGAGAGGUGAGUGGAACUCCUAGUGUAGAGGUGAAAUUCGUAGAUAUUAGGAAGAACACCAGUGGCGAAGGCGGCUCACUGGCCCGGAACUGACGCUGAGGUACGAAAGCGUGGGGAGCAAACA
Molecule: ribosomal RNA, 206 nt
Filed under: uncultured bacterium
Lineage: Bacteria
Description: partial 16S ribosomal RNA
Rfam family: Bacterial small subunit ribosomal RNA
Source: RNAcentral